GAAAUGCGAUAAGUAAUGUGAAUUGCAGAAUUCAGUGAAUCAUCGAAUCUUUGAACGCACAUUGCGCCCCCUGGUAUUCCGGCGGGCAUGCCUAUUCGAGCGUCAUUUCUAUCCUCAAGCUCCGCUUGAUAUUGGGAGGCAAGCCUCAUCCCCCCGGGGAGAGGCUCCCCCGAAAAUUAGCGGCGGAUCGGCCGGGGUCCCAGCGCGGUGACUAUUUUUUCUCGCUGAUUGGAUCCCCGGGCGGCUCUUGCCGGGCUAAAAACCAUUAUUUCUUUCAAGAUUGACCUCGGAUUAGGUAGGGAUACCCGCUGAACUUAA
RNAcentral lists this unclassified non-coding RNA (318 nucleotides) under uncultured Ostropales. Its description in RNAcentral is "sequence contains ITS1". The stretch from base 1 to 105 matches the Rfam family "5.8S ribosomal RNA", at positions 50 to 154 of the family's 154-position model. Lineage: Eukaryota; Fungi; Ascomycota; Lecanoromycetes. The record is from RNAcentral.